Molecule: ribosomal RNA, 491 nt
Filed under: Candidatus Mycoplasma haematominutum
Lineage: Bacteria; Bacillati; Mycoplasmatota; Mollicutes; Mycoplasmatales; Mycoplasmataceae
Description: bacterial SSU rRNA
Rfam family: Bacterial small subunit ribosomal RNA
Source: RNAcentral
GUGAACGAUGAAGGUCUUCUGAUUGUAAAGUUCUUUUAUUUAGGAAAAAAAGCUUGAUAGGAAAUGAUUAAGCCUUGAUUGUACUAAAUGAAUAAGUGACAGCUAACUAUGUGCCAGCAGCUGCGGUAAAACAUAGGUCACGAGCAUUAUCCGGAUUUAUUGGGCGUAAAGGAAGCGUAGGCGGACAAAUUGAUCUAUUGUUAAAGGCACUUGCUCAACGAGUUGUUUGUGAUAGAUAUCGUUUGUCUAGAAUUAGUUAGGAGAUACUGGAAUUCAAUGUGUAGCGGUGGAAUGCGUAGAUAUAUUGAGGAACACCAGAGGCUAAGGCGAGUAUCUAGGACAUAAUUGACGCUGAGGCUUGAAAGCGUGGGGAGCAAAUGGGAUUAGAUACCCCAGUAGUCCACGCCGUAAACGAUGGGUAUUAGGUAUUUGGUCUAGGACUGAGUGCUGUAGCUAACGCGUUAAAUACCCCGCCUGGGUAGUAUAUAUGC